This 707-nucleotide ribosomal RNA is filed under the name uncultured bacterium. Its description in RNAcentral is "bacterial SSU rRNA". It matches the Rfam family "Bacterial small subunit ribosomal RNA", at positions 39 to 762 of the family's 1533-position model. The record is from RNAcentral.
GCGGUGUGCCUAAUGCAUGCAAGUCGAAUGGGAACUCUUGGAUUCGUCUGAGAGGGAGAGUGGCGAACGGGUGAGUAACACGUAGGUGACCUGCCCCGGAGAGGGGGACAACCAUUGGAAACGAUGGCUAAUACCCCAGAUGUCAAUCUAUUUGGAAAGGAUUGACUAAAGUUCCGGCGCUCCGGGAGGGGCCUGCGGCCCAUCAGCUAGUUGGUAGGGUAACGGCCUACCAAGGCGAAGACGGGUAGGGGGCGUGAGAGCGUGACCCCCCACACUGGUACUGAGACACGGACCAGAUACCUGCGGGUAGCAGCAGCAAGGAAUAUUGCCCAAUGGACGCAAGUCUGAGGCAGCAACACCGCGUGGAGGACGAAGGCUUUCGAGUUGUAAACUCCUUUUCUGGGGGAAGAGAAAGGACGGUACCCCAGGAAUAAGUCUCGGCUAACUACGUGCCAGCAGCCGCGGUAAAACGUAGGAGGCGAGCGUUAUCCGGAAUUACUGGGCGUAAAGCGCAUGCAGGCGGUCUUCUAAGUCGGACGUGAAAGCUCUCGGCUCAACUGAGAGAGGCCGUUCGAAACUGGGAGACUUGAGGUUGGUAGAGGUGAGUGGAAUUCCAGGUGUAGUGGUGAAAUGCGUAGAUAUCUCGAGGAACACCAGUGGCGAAGGCGGCUCACUGGGCCAUACCUGACGCUCAGAUGCGAAAGCUA